UGGGGAAUAUUGCACAAUGGGCGAAAGCCUGAUCCAGCCAUGCCGCGUGUGUGAAGAAGGUCUUCGGAUUGUAAAGCACUUUAAGUUGGGAGGAAGGGCAUUAACCUAAUACGUUAGUGUUUUGACGUUACCGACAGAAUAAGCACCGGCUAACUCUGUGCCAGCAGCCGCGGUAAUACAGAGGGUGCAAGCGUUAAUCGGAAUUACUGGGCGUAAAGCGCGCGUAGGUGGUUUGUUAAGUUGGAUGUGAAAGCCCCGGGCUCAACCUGGGAACUGGAUUCAAAUCUGACUGAAUAGAGUAUUGUUGAGGGUGGUGGAAUUUCCUGUGUAGCUGUGAAAUGCGUAGAUAUAGGAAGGAAGACCAGUGGCGAAGGCGACCACCUGGACUAAUACUGACACUGAGGUGCGAAAGCGUGGGGAGCAAACA
RNAcentral lists this ribosomal RNA (427 nucleotides) under uncultured bacterium. Its description in RNAcentral is "partial 16S ribosomal RNA". It matches the Rfam family "Bacterial small subunit ribosomal RNA", at positions 355 to 774 of the family's 1533-position model. The record is from RNAcentral.